Molecule: long non-coding RNA, 515 nt
Organism: Passer domesticus (house sparrow)
Lineage: Eukaryota; Metazoa; Chordata; Aves; Passeriformes; Passeridae
Exons: 2
Source: RefSeq, a predicted model, not a curated record
GUUCCCCAUAGACCCAGGUGCCACUGCCAGUGGGGAUGCAGUGGGAGCCACCAAAAAGAACUGCUCUGCAGCUGUCUGUGAGCUUCCCUCAUCCUCACCUGGCAGCACUGCCCUGCAACAAACCCUGCCAAGGUCCCCGAUGGCAAGGAAUAAGGCAAAGGAGGAAGCUACGGAGAAGGGCAAGGGAGGCUGAGGUUUCCUCCUCAUGGUAAUGAAAUGCAGCCCACAUACCCCAACGCUGGCAAGAGAAGAGGAGAGCAAGUCAGAAGUUAAGGAAGUAGAGAAGUCAGACCAAGUACAAGAGUCAGAACAGAGGAGCAGGAAAUAAAGCAGUGGACUGUGUGCCUGAAAAGAGGAGACAGAGCCUGCAGCCUGUGAAAGGAUUAGCAGAAUAAAAGGAGUUUCAGUUUAGAGCAACAACAAAAUCCUAUCAUAGAGGCUUUAACUUCUUCUUUGAAAUAAACACACUGUAACAGUGUUACUCAAAUAAAACCAAAUAAAACCAUGUACUAGCA